Molecule: long non-coding RNA, 806 nt
Filed under: Paramuricea clavata
Lineage: Eukaryota; Metazoa; Cnidaria; Anthozoa; Malacalcyonacea; Plexauridae
Source: RNAcentral
CAGAAAUUUCAGUACAGUUAUAUUUACGAACUACGCAAUAUUGAAGAUUGUAUUGAUGCUCCCCACUAUGAUGCUGGGUCGAGAAUGUAUCUCUACAGAUGUCAUGAAAUGCAGGGAAACCAAGAGUUUCAUUAUACCCAGGUACAUUUUUUCUUCUGAAAACUGAAACUUAGUAGUGUAUUGUUAGUUUAAACUACAUACAGUAAAAACAAGCUGGCUAUAACCACAAGUCUACAAUUUAGGGCGUUGAGCACUUUUAAGUGUCAUCAAAGAAUUGGUGACCAAUUGUUCUCAUAUAACAGAUACACUUAGUAUGUGAGGUCAGGGUUGGUCCCAUGGUUCGGACUCAUCGUAAUUGGUUCCCGUGGAUUUAUACUACGGAGCUCUGAUGAUAACCCAGCCAUGUCUCAGUGUAUAUGUAUUGUCAAUAUUGUAAAUUCGUUUUGUUUGUAAGGGCAAAGUAUUUUAAAUUUAAAAAAAAGUUGUAAUUUUACUGAAGUAUUUAUAAACUAGAUCAUUCUUUUUUUCAUAUCUAAAUCUGCAUCAAAUAAUUGGUGGCAAAUUGUUCUCAUAUAACAAGUACACUUAUAGUAUGAAGUCAGAGUUAGUCCAUAAACCAUUGUAAUUGUUACUUCAACUUCACACUGAAUUUGAUAACAUGUAUAUAUGUGAAGUAGCCUACUUAUUCUAGUAACAACAAUCCAAUACAGUCAGUAUCGUAUUUUGAUAUGAAUGUAUUAUUACUGCGGCUUUAGAAAUUUCUUUCUGCUUCAGCAAAAGUAAUUAAUAUACAAAGUCAAAAGUGG